RNAcentral lists this ribosomal RNA (274 nucleotides) under uncultured bacterium. RNAcentral's name for it is "partial 16S ribosomal RNA". It matches the Rfam family "Bacterial small subunit ribosomal RNA", at positions 523 to 796 of the family's 1533-position model. The record is from RNAcentral.
AUACGGAGGGUGCAAGCGUUACUCGGAAUCACUGGGCGUAAAGCGCGCGCAGGCGGCUUGAUAAGUUGGAUGUGAAAGCCUACGGCUCAACCGUAGAACUGCAUCCAAAACUGUCAAGCUAGAGUCUGGGAGGGGAAGAUGGAAUUAGUUGUGUAGGGGUAAAAUCCGUAGAGAUAACUAGGAAUACCAAAAGCGAAGGAGAUCUUCUGGAACAGUACUGACGCUGAGGCGCGAAAGCGUGGGGAGCAAACAGGAUUAGAAACCCCAGUAGUCC